UACGUAGGUGGCAAGCGUUGUCCGGAUUUACUGGGCGUAAAGCGCACGUAGGCGGAUGCUUAAGUCAGGGGUGAAAUCCCGGGGCUCAACCCCGGAACUGCCUUUGAUACUGGGUGUCUGGAGGUCGAGAGAGGCGAGUGGAAUUCCGAGUGUAGAGGUGAAAUUCGUAGAUAUUCGGAGGAACACCAGUGGCGAAGGCGGCUCGCUGGCUCGAUACUGACGCUGAGGUGCGAAAGCGUGGGGAGCAAACAGG
This 253-nucleotide ribosomal RNA is filed under the name uncultured bacterium. RNAcentral describes it as "partial 16S ribosomal RNA". It matches the Rfam family "Bacterial small subunit ribosomal RNA", at positions 524 to 776 of the family's 1533-position model. The record is from RNAcentral.